GAGUUUGAUCGUGGCUCAGGACGAACGCUGGCGGCGUGCUUAACACAUGCAAGUCAAGGGGUAGCAAUACCACUGGCGCACGGGUGAGUAACGCGUAGAUUAUCUGCCCCUAUCUCCGGAAUAACAUCAAGAAAUUGGUGCUAAAAACGGAUGAGGCACAAUGUGUCAAAGGUAACGGAUAGGGAUGAGUCUGCGUCUGAUUAGCUAGUUGGUGAGGUAACGGCUCACCAAGGCGACGAUCAGUAGCUGGUCUGAGAGGACGAUCAGCCACACUGGAACUGAGACACGGUCCAGACUCCUACGGGAGGCAGCAGUGAGGAAUUUUGCACAAUGGAGGAAACUCUGAUGCAGCGACGCCGCGUGCGGGAUGAAGGGGCUUUGCCUUGUAAACCGCUGUCGGGUGGAAAAAAGUUCCCUCGGGGACUGGGAUUGUACCACCAAGGAAGGACCGGCUAACUACGUGACAGCCGCCGCGGUAAC
Molecule: ribosomal RNA, 480 nt
Filed under: uncultured Clostridia bacterium
Lineage: Bacteria; Bacillati; Bacillota; Clostridia
Description: bacterial SSU rRNA
Rfam family: Bacterial small subunit ribosomal RNA
Source: RNAcentral